UGUGUCCUCAUGGGCACUAUUGCCCCAGAGGGACUGGCUACCCUUUUACCUACCCCUGUAAGACUGGCCAAUAUAGGAACAACACACUUGGUCACAGUGGAGAGGCGUGUGUUUUAUGUCCAUCAAGGCAUUUCUGCGACAGACUGGGAAGUAGCCUCCCUUUAGUCUGUCCUCAGGGCUUUUACUGUCCAAAAGGCACUUCUACUCCCGAGCCUUGUCCUGAAGGAACCUACAGCUCACGUUCAGCUCUCAGUGAUGGGUCUGAGUGCUCCCCCUGUGGCGGAGGCCGGUAUUGCACCAGUGUGGGACUCUCAGAGCCCUCUGGAAGCUGCCAAGAGCGCUUCUACUGUAGAGAGGGAGCCAAGUCUGCAACUCCUGCGGAUGGUCCGACGGGAGGUUUGUGUCCAGCAGGAAGUUACUGUCCUCUAGCUUCGUCCUCUCCGCUGCCCUGUCCUCCCGGCACCUUUAGCAACAGCACCGG
Centropristis striata (black sea bass) is the source of this 481-nucleotide long non-coding RNA. RefSeq lists it as uncharacterized. The record is from RefSeq and is a predicted model, not a curated record. The transcript is spliced from 3 exons. NCBI's taxonomy places the organism in Eukaryota, Metazoa, Chordata, Actinopteri, Perciformes, Serranidae.